This 515-nucleotide ribosomal RNA is filed under the name Ceryloninae gen. nr. Philothermus sp. CO930. Its description in RNAcentral is "partial 16S ribosomal RNA". The stretch from base 389 to 515 matches the Rfam family "Bacterial large subunit ribosomal RNA", at positions 2473 to 2600 of the family's 2925-position model. Lineage: Eukaryota; Metazoa; Arthropoda; Insecta; Coleoptera; Cerylonidae. The record is from RNAcentral.
GUCCUUUUGAAAAUAAUUUAAGGUCUAACCUGCCCACUGAAAUUUAUUUAAAUGGCCGCAGUAUUUUGACUGUGCAAAGGUAGCAUAAUCAUUAGUUUUUUAAUUGAAAGCUGGAAUGAAAGGUUGAAUGAGAAAAUAACUGUCUUGAUUUAAAUGAUUUAGAAUUUUAUUUUUUAGUUAAAAAGCUUAAAUAAAUUUAAAAGACGAGAAGACCCUAUAGAGUUUAAUAAAAUUUAAUAAUUUUAUAAAAUAGGAUUAAAAUUUAGGAUUAUUAUAUUUUAUUUAAUUGGGGUGAUUGUAAAAUUAGAUUAACUUUUAUUAAAAUAAGACAUUAAUUUAUGAAUUUAUGAGCCAUAGAAUUAUGAUUAUAAGAUUAAAUUACCUUAGGGAUAACAGCGUAAUAUUUUUUUAGAGUUCUUAUCGAAAAAAGUGAUUGCGACCUCGAUGUUGGAUUAAAUUAAAUUAUUGGUGGAGAUACUAAUGAAUUAGGUCUGUUCGACCUUUAAAAAUUUACA